Molecule: non-coding RNA, 21 nt
Filed under: Caenorhabditis elegans
Lineage: Eukaryota; Metazoa; Nematoda; Chromadorea; Rhabditida; Rhabditidae
Source: RNAcentral
UCGCACGUUCGCGUUUCGAAG